AGAGGGCUAGUCCAAAAAAGACCUCUGAUUUCGGCUCAGAAAAUCGUGGUUAAACUCCACGGCCCCCUU
Molecule: transfer RNA, 69 nt
Filed under: Trigonostigma espei (lambchop rasbora)
Lineage: Eukaryota; Metazoa; Chordata; Actinopteri; Cypriniformes; Danionidae
Description: tRNA-Arg
Rfam family: tRNA
About the family: Transfer RNA (tRNA) molecules are approximately 80 nucleotides in length. Their secondary structure includes four short double-helical elements and three loops (D, anti-codon, and T loops).
Source: RNAcentral